Molecule: small nucleolar RNA, 133 nt
Organism: Mastomys coucha (southern multimammate mouse)
Lineage: Eukaryota; Metazoa; Chordata; Mammalia; Rodentia; Muridae
Product: small nucleolar RNA SNORA17
Exons: 1
Source: RefSeq, a predicted model, not a curated record
UCUAUUGCUUAGGACACAACAAGUAAGGCGUGGUGGCUAUGUCACAUGCAUGUCGUCAGUAGGUGGCAGAGAGGAGAGGCUAUGUCUAUGCCCAGUGUUCUGACCUAUGAAUAUCUGAAUGUCUGAAAAAAUU